This 433-nucleotide ribosomal RNA is filed under the name uncultured bacterium. RNAcentral describes it as "partial 16S ribosomal RNA". It matches the Rfam family "Bacterial small subunit ribosomal RNA", at positions 29 to 507 of the family's 1533-position model. The record is from RNAcentral.
AACGAACGCUGGCGGCAUGCCUAACACAUGCAAGUCGAACGAAGGCUUCGGCCUUAGUGGCGCACGGGUGCGUAACGCGUGGGAAUCUGCCCUUUGGUUCGGAAUAACAGCUGGAAACGGCUGCUAAUACCGGAUGAUGACGAAAGUCCAAAGAUUUAUCGCCAGAGGAUGAGCCCGCGUUGGAUUAGGUAGUUGGUGGGGUAAGGGCCUACCAAGCCGACGAUCCAUAGCUGGUCUGAGAGGAUGAUCAGCCACACUGGGACUGAGACACGGCCCAGACUCCUACGGGAGGCAGCAGUGGGGAAUAUUGGACAAUGGGCGCAAGCCUGAUCCAGCAAUGCCGCGUGAGUGAUGAAGGCCCUAGGGUUGUAAAGCUCUUUUACCCGGGAAGAUAAUGACUGUACCGGGAGAAUAAGCCCCGGCUAACUCCGUG